UCAGGAAGUCGGCAAAACGGAUCCGUAACCUUGGGAAAAGGAUUGGCUCUGAGGGCUGAGCCGGUCGGGCUGGGGUCCAGAAGCAGGAACUGCACUGCACCGGGACUGGGCGAGGCUCGCCGCCGUAAAAAGCGGUGCGGCCGAGCACGGACCAGCGUCGGGACCUUCCUGUGGAAAGCCACAGCUGUGCAUUUUCCGUGGGCUUCGCGCCUGAGGUUCUUGCUUCGGCCGGCAGAAAACAGGCAACUCAGAACUGGCACGGACCGGGGGAAUCCGACUGUCUAGUUAAAACAAAGAGAGA
Long non-coding RNA from Rhipicephalus microplus (southern cattle tick), 301 nucleotides. The record is from RefSeq and is a predicted model, not a curated record. NCBI's taxonomy places the organism in Eukaryota, Metazoa, Arthropoda, Arachnida, Ixodida, Ixodidae.